Molecule: ribosomal RNA, 238 nt
Filed under: uncultured bacterium
Lineage: Bacteria
Description: partial 16S ribosomal RNA
Rfam family: Bacterial small subunit ribosomal RNA
Source: RNAcentral
CGGGACGGGUGAGUAACGCGUGAGGAACCUGCCUCAAAGAGGGGGACAACAGUUGGAAACGACUGCUAAUACCGCAUAAGCCCACGGCUCGGCAUCGAGCAGAGGGAAAAGGAGCAAUCCGCUUUGAGAUGGCCUCGCGUCCGAUUAGCUAGUUGGUGAGGUAACGGCCCACCAAGGCGACGAUCGGUAGCCGGACUGGGAGGUUGAACGGCCACAUUGGGACUGAGACACGGCCCAG